UGGGGGAAUUUUGGACAAUGGGCGAAAGCCUGAUCCAGCAAUGCCGCGUGUGUGAAGAAGGCCUUCGGGUUGUAAAGCACUUUUGUCCGGAAAGAAAUCCUUGGCUCUAAUACAGUCGGGGAGUACGGUACCGGAAGAAUAAGCACCGGCUAACUACGUGCCAGCAGCCGCGGUAAUACGUAGGGUGCAAGCGUUAAUCGGAAUUACUGGGCGUAAAGCGUGCGCAGGCGGUUUGCUAAGACCGAUGUGAAAUCCCCGGGCUCAACCUGGGAACUGCUGGUGACUGGCAGGCUAGAGUAUGGCAGGAGGGGGGUUAGAAUUCCACGUGGUAGCAGUGAAAUGCGUAGAGAUGUGGAGGAAUACCGAUGGCGAAGGCAGCCCCCUGGGCCAAUACUGACGCUCAUGCACGAAAGCGUGGGGGAGC
This 424-nucleotide ribosomal RNA is filed under the name uncultured bacterium. RNAcentral's name for it is "partial 16S ribosomal RNA". It matches the Rfam family "Bacterial small subunit ribosomal RNA", at positions 354 to 769 of the family's 1533-position model. The record is from RNAcentral.